RNAcentral lists this ribosomal RNA (590 nucleotides) under uncultured bacterium. RNAcentral describes it as "bacterial SSU rRNA". It matches the Rfam family "Bacterial small subunit ribosomal RNA", at positions 334 to 917 of the family's 1533-position model. The record is from RNAcentral.
UACUCCUACGGGAGGCAGCAGUGGGGAAUUUUGGACAAUGGGCGAAAGCCUGAUCCAGCAAUGCCGCGUGUGUGAAGAAGGCCUUCGGGUUGUAAAGCACUUUUGUCCGGAAAGAAAUCCUUGGCUCUAAUACAGUCGGGGGAUGACGGUACCGGAAGAAUAAGCACCGGCUAACUACGUGCCAGCAGCCGCGGUAAUACGUAGGGUGCAAGCGUUAAUCGGAAUUACUGGGCGUAAAGCGUGCGCAGGCGGUUUGCUAAGACCGAUGUGAAAUCCCCGGGCUCAACCUGGGAACUGCAUUGGUGACUGGCAGGCUAGAGUAUGGCAGAGGGGGGUAGAAUUCCACGUGUAGCAGUGAAAUGCGUAGAGAUGUGGAGGAAUACCGAUGGCGAAGGCAGCCCCCUGGGCCAAUACUGACGCUCAUGCACGAAAGCGUGGGGAGCAAACAGGAUUAGAUACCCUGGUAGUCCACGCCCUAAACGAUGUCAACUAGUUGUUGGGGAUUCAUUUCCUUAGUAACGUAGCUAACGCGUGAAGUUGACCGCCUGGGGAGUACGGUCGCAAGAUUAAAACUCAAAGGAAUUGACGGA